This 1844-nucleotide unclassified non-coding RNA is filed under the name Hevea brasiliensis (rubber tree). The record is from RNAcentral. Lineage: Eukaryota; Viridiplantae; Streptophyta; Magnoliopsida; Malpighiales; Euphorbiaceae.
AGAAAGAAAGAAAGAAAAAGAAAAUGGAAGCAGUGGCCGAGGGACUAUGGGGAUUGGCUGAUUACGAGGAGCAGAAGGGGGAGAUAGGCAAGGCAGUUAAGUGCCUUGAAGCUAUUUGCCAAACCCAGGUCUCUUUCUUGCCAAUCAUCGAAGUCAAAACCCGUCUUCGCAUUGCUACUCUUCUUCUCAAACACUCUCACAACGUCAACGAGGCCAAAUCCCACCUGGAGCGAGCCCAAUUACUUCUCAAAUCGAUCCCUUCCUGCUUCGAAUUGAAGUGCCGUACUUACAGCUUGUUGAGUCAGUGUUAUCAUCUGGUGGGUGCGAUUCCUCCGCAGAAACAGAUUCUCCAUAAGGGCCUCGAGCUCAUUGCUUCUACUGCUCCUGAGGUAACAGUUAAAUUAUGGUCCUGUAACUUCAGUUCCCAGCUGGCCAAUGCAUUGAUAAUCGAAGGGGAUUAUCAUUCUGCUAUUUCUGCUUUGGAAUCUGGUUAUGAUUGUGCUGCACAAAUUUGUUAUCCGGAAUUACAGAUGUUCUUUGCAACUUCUGUUCUACAUGUGCACCUCAUGCAAUGGUGUGAUGAUAAUUUAGUUCAGUCUGCUCUUAAUAGAUGUGAUGUGCUUUGGGAUUCCUUGGGCUCUGAAAGAAGAGAACAAUGCUUAGGUUUGCUCUUUUACAACGAACUCCUUCACAUAUUCUAUCAACUCCGCAUCUGUGAUUUCAAGAAUGCUACCCAACAUGUCGACAAGUUGGAUGCUGCUAUGAAGGCUGACAUACAGAAUAUGCGUGAAAUACAGCGCCUAAAAAAUGAACUUAGUGCCCUAAAUCAAAGUCUUUCCAGGCCUGACUUGCCCAACAGAGAUAGGUCAUUACUUUCUUUGAAGCAUUCUCAAAUUCAACAGAAACUGACAAGUAUGUCUAAAACCACAUCAUUUGCUGAACAAUCUCUGGAGCCUGCAUACUUUGGAAAUGCAAGGCGGGCAUCAGAAGAUAAGCUAGUGCUGGCACCACCUCCAAUUGAUGGGGAGUGGCUACCAAAGAGUGCUGUCUAUGCUUUGGUUGAUCUUAUGUCAGUCAUAUUUGGCCGUCCACGGGGACUUUUUAAGGAGUGUGCCAAGCGCAUUCAAUCUGGAAUGCAAACCAUUCAAGAUUUCUAAUAAUUAUGGGAAGCAUCGGCAUCUUUUGUUAGCCUUGAGCAACCUAUGCUUGCGUCUUUGAAUUGUAGUUAUUGCUUUUUACACAUUAGUGGAGCUGGUAAAGCUUGGAAUAACUGAUGGUGUUAGAGGUUAGCUUCAUCUUUUAUGACAAUGUAAAUAUGGUUUCAGUUAUUGAUAUUACACUGUUACUUGCAUGAUCUGUCUGGAGUUUGAUAUCAUGCAGAAGUGGAUCUGCGGCACUCUGCCAUUUGGAUGGCUGGCGUCUACUUAAUGCUAUUAAUGCAGUUUCUUGAAAACAAAGUGGCAAUGGAGCUCACACGGUCUGAAUUUGUUGAAGCACAAGGGGCACUAGUGCAAAUGAAAGAUUGGUUCAUUCGCUUUCCAACAAUUCUCCAGGCCUGUGAGAGUGUCAUUGAGAUGCUCAGGGGCCAAUAUGCUCAUUCUGUUGGCUGUUAUAGUGAAGCGGCUUUUCACUAUAUUGAAGCAGCAAAAGUAUGUUAUUUAAUUUGCCAUACAUGGUUAAUAACAGAUUGUUCAACUACUAGUCAGUUGAUGUUAUUGAUAAUGCUUAAGGAUGACAUACUGAGCUAAAUAUCAUGUUUACUAAUCUGUACAAGCUAUUUUCUAUACAUAUAAGUUUUUAUUCUGUUUAGCAAGUGGAUGUUCAUUUUGUAAAAUAUAACUAAG